AAUUUGUAUUAAUUAAUUAUCUCUGUUAGUAAGGAUUGCAAAUAAGAAAUUAACAUAAUAAUAUUUCAAGAGACCAUAGACAUUUGAUUCAACAGGUGAGGUUAUGCUCGAUAGCUGUACCAGUCUGAAGUUUCCAAAUCAAUAAACCGUAAGUACAGUUAAGUUGCGAACGUUGGUAACAAUCAAUCAAAAAAAUAUCUUAGUUAUCGGACACAAAUUUGGAAGGCAAGGUUAUUUCGAAGAAAAUAUUCAUAUUCUUUCUUCUCCCUUUAUUGUGUGUGAAAACUACAUUGUGUGGAUUGGAAAUGUUAUGUUAAUAUAUUUUUCAAGAAUUCUACCAAACAUAUGUUAUCAGAUUUGGAUUAAAUAAAUUCUAACAUAAUGAGGCAUUAUGGUAAUGUUAGGGUUUCGCUUUGUAAUGUAACAAUUAAUCACGAGUUACGUGAAAUAAACCUUUCAUCAAUCAUCUAAGAAAAACUCGCAGUUUUCAGCUUUAUAAUCAGGAAUGAAUGGUGGACAAGAAAGGGUGCAUGCAGUUGCUGAGAAAAAAAUUGUGCUGUAUUUCGAGGCUACAGCCAGAUGUAUCUCUCCAGUCCUGAUAUUUGGUACUUUUAGACUUAAGUGUGAGAGAGAGAUAGAGAAAUGAAUUAUAGAUAAUCUUUACACGGUGUAUCUUAAUUUGUUUCCAAUGUUGUUAUGAUUCACUCGAUAAUCAUAUCAUUUUGCAUUAAAAAGGAAACAGAACCUUUAAUCCCAGAAAAAAUAUUCCAAGACAUAGCUGUAGGAUUUUUUCGUUAUAACUUUUCUCCGUCUCAUUCUCUCGAUUUAUCCUAAGGCUUAAAUAUUUACACAUUUUAUGUCGCUUCCGCAUGUAAUGCUCUUGUUUUCAAGAGAUUGAUCUCCAAAGUAACAUUUUAGAAGAUUAAGGAGUUUAAGAUCAACGAUCGGGAUUACUUAAUUACAAAAUGAACAGAUAAGUUUUUAUUAAUAAUUAGAUCUACCACGAUCGUAACACAUCGAGUGUAAUUAGUUAAUUAUAAUGUAAAUACAACAUUAUUGUGCGUUAUUCGACUCAAAUCGGUAAAUGCCAUGUUUUCAAAUUUGAAAUUUAACUAGCAGUUAUUACAUAAAAAAGUGUAGUUCAAGAGAAACAUAAAAUUGAAAUCAUCACCAGAAUUAAAAAUGUAAACUAAAAUCUUCCUACCGACUAAUACAAGAAGAGAAGUGGAGUUGAAAAGAAAAGUAACAAUAAACUGCUUUAAAUAGUAACACAGCAGAAAACACAUGUAUAUCAGAUAUACACUUCAUGCAGAAGAUAUGAGUAAGCCAGCAAUAAGGCACAACGUAGCAAAUAGAGCAAAGCCAUCAUUAAGUAAGGAUGAAAAUAUUUGCUGAAUAAACAGUCAAUGCAGAAAUAGAAUUCCAAAAUCAUGGUUACGCUCAACAUACUCUUUUUAAAACAAAAUUGACAGAAAUCCAAUCUUAUGCGAUAUUGGACUUCACUAGAAAGACAUUAAAUUAAAUAUUUUUAUCAAUGACGACACACAUCGUGAAAUCAUGAAGGUGACGAUCUUGGUGUUAGAAGAAAAUAUAAUGCAAAAAUAAAAACAAUAAAGAAAAUACAGUCGUUAUUUUCCUGAAAAUUUACAGAAGUGUUUCAGAACAGUAUGUAUACAAGUGGUACAUUUCCAUACAUGUCUAUUCACCGUCUUAAUAUCUGAAAUCACUCCUAAGACUAUCUUCUUCAAAGAAAUCAAAAAUACAUAUUCAUACACUUUAAGUAUUCCAACUUUGCAUCAACAUUUCAUUUCAAUCAACAUUCAAUAAUAACUGCACACAGGUCUCGUUCGUUCGGUGAAAUGCUAUGACCCUACAGAAGAUAGAAAGAGUGGGGCGGAGGCCAAUUCUGUUCCCCUUUCCAUUACCAAAGUUUGUUUUUAGGGGUAGAGUAAUUAGCAAGGAUGAGACAUAGUUGAUGGGGAAAUACCCUCUUUCUAUUUACGUUACUUAAUUUUCUUAUUAAAGGCUAAGCAAUCGCGAUCUUGUGUAAAUGCAUGGGCAGCGGUCACUUCGCCAUUUUAGCGAAUUCAAGCAGCCGCAUGCACCGCCGCAGCUUCUAUAUAAAAUCUCAAUAUUUUCAUGUUUCUGUACUCAUAAUCAUUCCGCAUAACAUCUCCAUACUCUAUACCACACUAAUCUUUUGCUUCUCAAUUUCACACUAUGCACUGCAUUGGAUAUGUAAAGAUAAAUUAUCAAAUAACAAUUUGGAACAAAAUGAUUAUUUUUUUUACAAUAUUUUUGAUGU
Papilio polytes (common Mormon) is the source of this 2305-nucleotide long non-coding RNA. RefSeq lists it as uncharacterized. NCBI's taxonomy places the organism in Eukaryota, Metazoa, Arthropoda, Insecta, Lepidoptera, Papilionidae. The transcript is spliced from 3 exons. The record is from RefSeq and is a predicted model, not a curated record.